Molecule: ribosomal RNA, 440 nt
Filed under: uncultured bacterium
Lineage: Bacteria
Description: bacterial SSU rRNA
Rfam family: Bacterial small subunit ribosomal RNA
Source: RNAcentral
AACGCGAAGAACCUUACCUACUCUUGAAUCCACGGAACCUGCUAGAAAUAGCGGGGUGCCUUCGGGAACCGUGAGACAGGUGCUGCAUGGCUGUCGUCAGCUCGUGUCGUGAGAUGUUGGGUUAAGUCCCGUAACGAGCGCAACCCUUGUCCUUAGUUACCAGCGAGUUAUGUCGGGGACUUUAAGGAGACUGCCGGUGAUAAACCGGAGGAAGGUGGGGAUGACGUCAAGUCCUCAUGGCCCUUACGAGUAGGGCUACACACGUGCUACAAUGGCCGGUACAAAGGGUUGCCAACCUGCAAAGGGGAGCCAAUCUCAAAAAGCCGGUCGUAGUCCGGAUUGGAGUCUGCAACUCGACUCCAUGAAGCUGGAAUCGCUAGUAAUCGUGGAUCAGCACGCCACGGUGAAUACGUUCCCGGGCCUUGUACACACCGUAGUAC